UAGAUGCGAGAGUAGAGCAUAUCAAUAAGCGGGAGGAAAAGAAACUAACAAGGAUUCCCUUAGUAACGGCGAGUGAAGCGGGAAGAGCUCAAAUUUGAAAUCUUCAAGGUUCUACCUUGACGAAUUGUAGUUUAAAGAAGUGUUUUUCUGUUAGAUGAGUAGCAAAAAGUUCCUUGGAAUGGGACAUCAUAGAGGGUGAGAAUCCCGUAUUUGGUUAUUCAUUCUAGCUUUGUGAUACACUUUCAAAGAGUCGGAUUGUUUGGGAAUGCAGUCCAAAAUGGGUGGUAAAUUUCAUCUAAAGCUAAAUAUUGGCGAGAGACCGAUAGCGAACAAGUACCGUGAGGGAAAGAUGAAAAGAACCUUGAAAAGAGAGUUAAACAGUACGUGAAAUUGUCAAAAGGGAAGCGUUUGACACCAGUGUUGUUUUUUCCGAAAAUCAAUUACGAAUGGCUUGAUUUUGUGUUGUAUUGACCUUAUCAGCUUUCUGCACUUUUUUUCGAGUCUUUCUUAAUGCACUUUUCGGUUAACAAGUCAACAUCAAUUUCUUUUGUUGUAAAAGAGUAUUCGGAAGGUGGCUUUCUUUUCGGAGAAAGUGUUUAUAGCCCUAUACUUCUACAAUCGGAGAGAUUGAGGUCUGCAGCGUAGAUCCUUCGGGGUUAGAUACACUUGUGCUAAGUUGUAGCUUUUCAUAGACAACUUGUCGACUAUGUUUAGUCAUGCGGCUUACUCGCUUAUGCUAUUUUACCUACGCUUAGGAUGUUGAGCGCAUGUCUCUCUC
Molecule: ribosomal RNA, 778 nt
Filed under: uncultured Neocallimastigales
Lineage: Eukaryota; Fungi; Neocallimastigomycota; Neocallimastigomycetes; Neocallimastigales
Description: partial large subunit ribosomal RNA
Rfam family: Eukaryotic large subunit ribosomal RNA
Source: RNAcentral